AAAAAGACAAAUACUGAUUUCCGUGUCCAAUGUUUAACCGUCCGUCUUAUUUAAAAAAAUUAAAAAAAAAUAAAAAGAUAAAUCACGAAUAAAGUAUUCAUCAUGUUUUAUCAUCUAACAACAAUAAAAAUACUAAUUAUAAAAAAUUUCAUAUAAUACGGACAGUCAAACGUUGACACGCAAAUCCGCAGUUUGACUUUUU
This is a non-coding RNA of Oryza glumipatula, 202 nucleotides long. Lineage: Eukaryota; Viridiplantae; Streptophyta; Magnoliopsida; Poales; Poaceae. The record is from Rfam.